GACGAACGCGGCGGCGUGCCUAAUACAUGCAAGUAGAACGCUGACUACUUUAGCUUGCUAGAGUAGAAGGAGUUGCGAACGGGUGAGUAACGCGUAGGUAACCUGCCUACUAGCGGGGGAUAACUAUUGGAAACGAUAGCUAAUACCGCAUAACAGUGUUUAACACAUGUUAGAUGCUUGAAAGAUGCAAAUGCAUCACUAGUAGAUGGACCUGCGUUGUAUUAGCUAGUUGGUGGGGUAACGGCCUACCAAGGCGACGAUACAUAGCCGACCUGAGAGGGUGAUCGGCCACACUGGGACUGAGACACGGCCCAGACUCCUACGGGAGGCAGCAGUAGGGAAUCUUCGGCAAUGGGGGCAACCCUGACCGAGCAACGCCGCGUGAGUGAAGAAGGUUUUCGGAUCGUAAAGCUCUGUUGUAAGAGAAGAACGUGUGUGAGAGUGGAAAGUUCACACAGUGACGGUAACUUACCAGAAAGGGACGGCUAACUACGUGCCAGCAGCCGCGGUAAUACGUAGGUCCCGAGCGUUGUCCGGAUUUAUUGGGCGUAAAGCGAGCGCAGGCGGUUUAAUAAGUCUGAAGUUAAAGGCAGUGGCUUAACCAUUGUUCGCUUUGGAAACUGUUAAACUUGAGUGCAGAAGGGGAGAGUGGAAUUCCAUGUGUAGCGGUGAAAUGCGUAGAUAUAUGGAGGAACACCGGUGGCGAAAGCGGCUCUCUGGUCUGUAACUGACGCUGAGGCUCGAAAGCGUGGGGAGCAAACAGG
Molecule: ribosomal RNA, 764 nt
Filed under: uncultured Streptococcus sp.
Lineage: Bacteria; Bacillati; Bacillota; Bacilli; Lactobacillales; Streptococcaceae
Description: bacterial SSU rRNA
Rfam family: Bacterial small subunit ribosomal RNA
Source: RNAcentral